This 253-nucleotide ribosomal RNA is filed under the name uncultured bacterium. RNAcentral's name for it is "partial 16S ribosomal RNA". It matches the Rfam family "Bacterial small subunit ribosomal RNA", at positions 524 to 776 of the family's 1533-position model. The record is from RNAcentral.
GACAGAGGCCUCGAGCGUUAGGCGGAAUCACUGGGCUUAAAGCGUGUGUAGGCGGAUCGUUAAGUGUCUUGUGAAAUCCCACGGCUCACCCGUGGAACUGCUGGGCAUACUGGCGAUCUUGGGCCAUUCAGGGGCGACUGGAACAAGCGGUGGAGCGGUGAAAUGCGUAGAUAUCGCUUGGAACGCCGAAGGUGAAAACAGGUCGCUGGGGAUGUGCCGACGCUGAGACACGAAAGCCAGGGGAGCAAACGGG